AUACGGAGGAUCCGAGCGUUAUCCGGAUUUAUUGGGUUUAAAGGGUGCGCAGGCGGCCAUUUAAGUCAGCGGUUAAAUCGUGGGGCUCAACCCCAUUCUGCCGUUGAUACUGGGUGGCUUGAUUGCGGUCGAGGUUGGCGGAAUUCGUUGUGUAGCGGUGAAAUGCAUAGAUAUGACGAAGAACACCGAUUGCGUAGGCAGCUGACCAAACCGCAAAUUACGCUCAUGCACGAAAGUGCGGGGAUCGAACAGGAUUAGAUAACCUGGUAGUCCGCACAGUAAACGAUGAAUACUUGUUUUCGGCGAUAUAAUGUCGGAGGCAAAGCGAAAGCGAUAAGUAUUCCACCUGGGGAGUACGCCGGCAACGGUGAAACUCAAAUGAAUUGACGGGG
RNAcentral lists this ribosomal RNA (392 nucleotides) under uncultured bacterium. Its description in RNAcentral is "partial 16S ribosomal RNA". It matches the Rfam family "Bacterial small subunit ribosomal RNA", at positions 523 to 918 of the family's 1533-position model. The record is from RNAcentral.